This 729-nucleotide ribosomal RNA is filed under the name Triticum aestivum (bread wheat). Its description in RNAcentral is "partial small subunit ribosomal RNA". The record is from RNAcentral. Lineage: Eukaryota; Viridiplantae; Streptophyta; Magnoliopsida; Poales; Poaceae.
AUGCCUGGGAGGUCGACCAUGGAAGCCAUUUUCUUGGUACAACAACUUAUGGAGAGAUAUAGGGAGCAUAAGAAGGACUUGCAUAUGGUGUUCAUUGACUUGGAGAAGGCCUAUGAUAAGAUACCGCGGAAUGUCAUGUGGUGGGCCUUGGAGAAACACAAAGUCCCAGCAAAGUACAUUACCCUCAUCAAGGACAUGUACAAUAAUGUUGUGACAAGUGUUCGAACAAGUGAUGUCGACACUGAUGACUUCCCGAUUAAGAUAGGACUGCAUCAGGGGUCAGCUUUGAGCCCUUAUCUUUUUGCAUUGGUGAUGGAUGAGGUCACAAGGGGUAUACAAGGAGAUAUCCCAUGGUGUAUGCUCUUUGCGGAUGAUGUGGUGCUAGUUGACGAUAGUCGGACGGGGGUAAAUAGGAAGUUAGAGUUAUGGAGACAAACCUUGGAAUCGAAAGGGUUUAGGCUUAGUAGAACUAAAACCGAGUACAUGAUGUGCGGUUUCAAUACUACUAGUUGUGAGGAGGAGGAGGUUAGCCUUGAUGGCCAGGUGGUACCUCGGAAGGACACCUUUCGGUAUUUGGGGUCAAUGUUGCAGGAGGAUGGGGGUAUUGAUGAAGAUGUGAACCAUCGAAUCAAAGCCGGAUGGAUGAAGUGGCGCCAAGCUUCUGGCAUUCUCUGUGACAAGAGAGUGCCACAAAAGCUAAAAGGCAAGUUCUACAGGACGGCGGUUUGA